GCAGUGAGCCGGGUAACCGCUGCCAUCAGUAACCUUGCCGCGAGGUGAGAAGUGCUGGCGGGAGAGGAAAGUCCGAACUCCACAGGGCAGUGCGCCGGGUAAUUCCCGGGCGGGGCGACCCGACGGACAGUGGCACAGAAAAUAUACCGCUCCGCCGUAGCCCGAAAGGGCGAAGGCGAGUAAGGGUGAAAUGGUGGGGUAAGAGCCCACCGCGCGCUUGGUAACAAGCGUGGCAGGCCAAACCCCGCACGGAGCAAGACCAAAUAGGGAGACGCGGCACCCCGGCGCAAGCUGGGGAGCGCCACAGGCGGCCCGCCUGAGGUCUCCGGGUAGGUUGCUCGACCCCGCCAGUAAUGUCGGGGCUAGAGGAAUGGUUACCCUCGUGGCGCUCGCAAGGGCGUCGCGGGACAGAAUUCGGCUUAUAGGCUCACUGCGGCA
RNAcentral lists this RNase P RNA (438 nucleotides) under Acidobacteriota bacterium. RNAcentral describes it as "RNase P RNA component class A". It matches the Rfam family "Bacterial RNase P class A". Rfam says of the family: Ribonuclease P (RNase P) is a ubiquitous endoribonuclease, found in archaea, bacteria and eukarya as well as chloroplasts and mitochondria. Its best characterised activity is the generation of mature 5'-ends of tRNAs by cleaving the 5'-leader elements of precursor-tRNAs. Cellular RNase Ps are ribonucleoproteins. Lineage: Bacteria; Pseudomonadati; Acidobacteriota. The record is from RNAcentral.